Long non-coding RNA from Panicum virgatum (switchgrass), 1251 nucleotides. RefSeq lists it as uncharacterized. The record is from RefSeq and is a predicted model, not a curated record. NCBI's taxonomy places the organism in Eukaryota, Viridiplantae, Streptophyta, Magnoliopsida, Poales, Poaceae. The transcript is spliced from 4 exons.
GCCCCAGGUCAGUGUUGGUGCCGCUGUGGCCGUCGACCGCCGGCCGGAGUUGCGACCCGAUCCACGUAAUGCGCGGGAAGUCAUCCAUCGGCUCGCCGUCGUCCAUUCAGAGCUCCGCGAGGUUGCUCCGCUCUCGUCGUCAUCGCCCCAGAAGCGUCAUCAGCACGCGCCGACUGGCUCAAAAGGAAAGAUCCACUGCAGCAGCUCGGCUCGUCAUCGUCACCAGAAGCUGUCGAUUUCUUUGGAGCUUUCCUCGCCAUCCACCCCCUCCUCCAUCCGAUUCCCUGUGGUUCUACUUGAGUUCCUAUAGAGGCUUGGACUAUUUGUGUAGGUAAUAGCUCUUUUUAAUUCCUGUGUGCACAACAAGAAACAUCAUUAUCAGGCAGGUCGACCCGCGCAGAUGGGUGAGGGCGGAUCCCUCGGCUCCAUGCUAAGAUCUCUUCCUUAUCAGGUGUUUUUCUUUGGAGGCAAUAGCGAGAUCGAUGGACUGCUCAUUCCCUUUCCCCUGUUUUUUCGUGUACUAGAUCGGUCUUAACCAAGAUUGAACAACUAUUCGUAUCCUCUGCAAAUCAAAGAUCUCGUGCGCUAAAUUGCUCAAUUCCUCAGAUUCACCCUAUGUCCUCAAAUAGUCACAGAUCCAUUCCUCUUCAUAUCUAUCUUUUCUGGAUCCUACCCAAAAAAUCUUUUCUGAAUCCAAUUAGUUUGCUUCUUUUUUCUAUGCACGGCAGCUAGUUAUUUCAGUAUUUGUAGAUUAAUUGAGUUGUUCAUCAUGUAAUUUCGGGUUUGCAAUUUUGUUCAGGCUGUAGAAUUUGGCGAAAUCUUUUGUGCCACAUGGGUUACGUUGGAAAGGAAAUUCUGAUCCCAUGUAUAUGUGCCUUUGUUGCUGCUGGCUGCUUAUAAUUAAAUCGGCUGCCACUCGGUUCUUUGUCUUCCACUAUGAUUUUUUACUUGACACAUGAUACGUCAUGGCCUGAAGGAUCGAUCCUCUGCCACCCACUCUAACCAACAAGCUUCAGGCGAGAAGCAGAUGGCAAACAAUCAGCAUGAAUCCCCCGACCUCUGCUUACUCUGAAUCAAGCACAGCCUCUGAAGCGCCCUCUGAACAGGUGUUGAGUGUCAGGAUCGGCGACGAUGGCCACACGAUUUAUUUUGUGUCGUCAGCUUGAUUAAGUCUGAUAAAACUAAUAUGUGGCAUGCACAGAGAUAUUUGUAGAUAUAUUUUUAACACUUACUAUGAAAUAGCGUUUUCCA